RNAcentral lists this non-coding RNA (337 nucleotides) under Cucumis melo (muskmelon). RNAcentral's name for it is "Bacterial large subunit ribosomal RNA". It matches the Rfam family "Bacterial large subunit ribosomal RNA", at positions 2103 to 2427 of the family's 2925-position model. Lineage: Eukaryota; Viridiplantae; Streptophyta; Magnoliopsida; Cucurbitales; Cucurbitaceae. The record is from Rfam by way of RNAcentral. RNAcentral also lists the same sequence under 1 other name.
ACUAUUCCCUGUGAUUGGCUUUGGACCUUUCCUACACAACUUAGGUGGAACUAAAGAAUGCCUCCUUCAGGGGGGCUCGAGUCAUCAGUGAGAUACUAUUUUUGAAGUUAGAAUUCUAACCUUGUGUUAGGACCUAUGGAUCGAUUGACUUUGGGAUAGUCUCAGGUAGACAGUUUCUAUGGAUUGUAGGUCUUCCAGAAGGUAACGGAAGCGUGCAAAGGUUUCAUCGAUCUGAAUGAAGAUUGGCUCUCAAGUACAAAGACAGAAGGGAGCUUGACUACAAGACAUGUCCAUUGAGCAGGGACAUUUUAAUGAAUGACAAAAGCGUUCUUUCACC